UACGAAGGGGGCUAGCGUUGUUCGGAAUUACUGGGCGUAAAGCGCGCGCAGGCGGCUUGGUAAGUUGGGGGUGAAAUCCCUGGGCUCAACCCAGGAAUGGCCUUCAAGACUGCUUGGCUGGAGGACGAGAGAGGUGAGUGGAAUUCCCAGUGUAGAGGUGAAAUUCGUAGAUAUUGGGAAGAACACCGGUGGCGAAGGCGGCUCACUGGCUCGUUUCUGACGCUGAGGCGCGAAAGCUAGGGUAGCAAACGGG
Molecule: ribosomal RNA, 253 nt
Filed under: uncultured bacterium
Lineage: Bacteria
Description: partial 16S ribosomal RNA
Rfam family: Bacterial small subunit ribosomal RNA
Source: RNAcentral